GACGAACGCUGGCGGCGUGCUUAACACAUGCAAGUCGAACGGAAAGGCCCUGCUGUUGUUGGGGGCUCGAGUGGCGAACGGGUGAGUAACACGUGAGUAACCUGCCCUUGACUUUGGGAUAACUUCAGGAAACUGGGGCUAAUAUCGGAUAGGAGCUCCUGCGGCAUGGUGGGGGUUGGUAAGUUUAGGCGGUUGGGGAUGGACUCGCGGCAUAUCAGCUUGGUUGUGGGGUAGUGGCUUACCAAGGCUUUGACGGGUAGCCGGCCUGAGAGGGUGACCGGGCACAUUGCGACUGCGGUACGGCACAGACUCCUACGGGAGGCAGCAGUGGGGAAUAUUGCAGAAUGGGCGGAAGCCUGAUGCAGCGCCGCCGCGUGCGGGAUGACGGACUUCGGGUUGUAAACCGCUUUGGCCUGUGACGAAGCGUGCGUGACGGUAAUGGGUAAAGAAGCAACGGCUAACUACGUG
Molecule: ribosomal RNA, 468 nt
Filed under: uncultured bacterium
Lineage: Bacteria
Description: partial 16S ribosomal RNA
Rfam family: Bacterial small subunit ribosomal RNA
Source: RNAcentral